CCCCGCUUUUAGUUUCCUGCUCCGGGCACCCAACUUCCUUCCGGGACACUUGAGUAGCCUAACUCACCAGAACUUUGUCUUGAA
This is a non-coding RNA of Caenorhabditis elegans, 84 nucleotides long. The record is from Ensembl. NCBI's taxonomy places the organism in Eukaryota, Metazoa, Nematoda, Chromadorea, Rhabditida, Rhabditidae.